GGGCCGUUGGCGCAAUUGGUAGCGCAGUGGACUCCAGAUCCAAAGGUUGGGCGUUCAAGUCGCUCACGGCUCA
Molecule: non-coding RNA, 73 nt
Organism: Cryptomeria japonica (Japanese cedar)
Lineage: Eukaryota; Viridiplantae; Streptophyta; Pinopsida; Cupressales; Cupressaceae
Source: the annotation of a RefSeq genome assembly